RNAcentral lists this ribosomal RNA (938 nucleotides) under Rasamsonia emersonii. Its description in RNAcentral is "eukaryotic LSU rRNA". It matches the Rfam family "Eukaryotic large subunit ribosomal RNA", at positions 23 to 978 of the family's 3401-position model. The record is from RNAcentral. Lineage: Eukaryota; Fungi; Ascomycota; Eurotiomycetes; Eurotiales; Trichocomaceae.
ACCCGCUGAACUUAAGCAUAUCAAUAAGCGGAGGAAAAGAAACCAACAGGGAUUGCCUCAGUAACGGCGAGUGAAGCGGCAAGAGCUCAAAUUUGAAAUCUGGCCCCUUCGGGGUCCGAGUUGUAAUUUGGAGAGGAUGCUUCGGGUACGGCCCCCGUCUAAGUGCCCUGGAACGGGCCGUCAUAGAGGGUGAGAAUCCCGUCUGGGACGGGUGGCCGGGCCCGUGUGAAGCUCCUUCGACGAGUCGAGUUGUUUGGGAAUGCAGCUCUAAAUGGGUGGUAAAUUUCAUCUAAAGCUAAAUAUUGGCCGGAGACCGAUAGCGAACAAGUAGAGUGAUCGAAAGAUGAAAAGCACUUUGAAAAGAGAGUUAAACAGCACGUGAAAUUGUUGAAAGGGAAGCGCUUGCGACCAGACUCGCCCGGGGAGGCUCAGCCGGCACUCGUGCCGGUGCAUUCCCCCCCGGGCGGGCCAGCGUCGGUUUGGGCGGUCGGUCAAAGGCCCCCGGAAUGUGUCGCCCUCCGGGGCGUCUUAUAGCCGGGGGUGCAAUGCGGCCAGCCUGGACCGAGGAACGCGCUUCGGCUCGGACGCUGGCGUAAUGGUCGUAAACGACCCGUCUUGAAACACGGACCAAGGAGUCUAACAUCUACGCGAAGUGUUCGGGUGUUAAACCCGUGCGCGCAGUGAAAGCGAACGGAGGUGGGAACCCUUCCGGGUGCACCAUCGACCGAUCCUGAUGUCUUCGGAUGGAUUUGAGUAAGAGCGUAGCUGUUGGGACCCGAAAGAUGGUGAACUAUGCCUGAAUAGGGCGAAGCCAGAGGAAACUCUGGUGGAGGCUCGCAGCGGUUCUGACGUGCAAAUCGAUCGUCAAAUUUGGGUAUAGGGGCGAAAGACUAGUCGAACCAUCUGGUAGCUGGUUCCUGCCGAAGUUUCCCUCAGGA